This 740-nucleotide ribosomal RNA is filed under the name Anthracocystis aff. chrysopogonis KRAM F ml1934. Its description in RNAcentral is "eukaryotic LSU rRNA". The stretch from base 243 to 397 matches the Rfam family "5.8S ribosomal RNA". Lineage: Eukaryota; Fungi; Basidiomycota; Ustilaginomycetes; Ustilaginales; Ustilaginaceae. The record is from RNAcentral.
GGUGAACCUGCAGAUGGAUCAUUUCGAUGAAAACCUUUUUUCUGAGGUGUGGCUCGCACCUGUCUAACUAAACUUGAGCUACCUUUUUUCAACACGGUUGCAUCGGUUGAGAGCCUGUCAAAGAACGCGCGAAAGUGUGUUUUCUUUGGUUCGGCCCUCGACACUUUACACAAACACUUUUGAUCUUCUAGGAUUUGAAUGACAAUUUAUGACUGGUAAUUCGGUCGUUUAAAUUUAAAAACAACUUUUGGCAACGGAUCUCUUGGUUCUCCCAUCGAUGAAGAACGCAGCGAAUUGCGAUAAGUAAUGUGAAUUGCAGAAGUGAAUCAUCGAAUCUUUGAACGCACCUUGCGCUCCCUGCAGAUCUAAUCUGGGGAGCAUGCCUGUUUGAGGGCCGCGAAUUGUUUCGAACCACUCUUUUUUUAAUUAAGAAGGGUCGGAUCGGUAGUGAGGGUUUUUGCCAUUAACCGUGGCUCCCUCGAAAUACAUUAGCGCAUCCAUUUGAUAGGCAAGAACGGACGAAAGCUCAUCUUUCGCUCUCUCUUCCCUGCCGGGUUUUGAUAAUAUCAGGACUUCGGAGGCGGAGAAAGGGCAAGAGCUGGACGCAACGAUCUUGCUGUUUGGCGUGCUUCUGAACCCCGCCCAUGCUUUGCUUCGGCAAAAGAAGGGAUUUUAAUAAUUCAUCGGCCUCAGAUUGGUAGGACUACCCGCUGAACUUAAGCAUAUCAAUAAGCGGAGGA